GUUGAUCAUGGCUCAGAUUGAACGCUGGCGGAAUGCUUUACACAUGCAAGUCGAGCGGCAGCGCGGGGGCAACCCUGGCGGCGAGCGGCGAACGGGUGAGUAAUGCAUCGGAACGUGUCCAUGUCGUGGGGGAUAGCCCGGCGAAAGCCGGAUUAAUACCGCAUACGCCCGAGAGGGGAAAGUGGGGGACCGCAAGGCCUCAUGCGAUUGGAUCGGCCGAUGUCCGAUUAGCUAGUUGGCGGGGUAAAGGCCCACCAAGGCGAUGAUCGGUAGCUGGUCUGAGAGGAUGAUCAGCCACACUGGGACUGAGACACGGCCCAGACUCCUACGGGAGGCAGCAGUGGGGAAUUUUGGACAAUGGGGGCAACCCUGAUCCAGCCAUUCCGCGUGAGUGAAGAAGGCCUUCGGGUUGUAAAGCUCUUUUGUCCGGAACGAAACGGAUGACGUUAAUAGCGUCGUCUACUGACGGUACCGGAAGAAUAAGCACCGGCUAACUACGUGCCAGCAGCCGCGGUAAUACGUAGGGUGCGAGCGUUAAUCGGAAUUACUGGGCGUAAAGCGUGCGCAGGCGGUUUUGUAAGCCAGAUGUGAAAGCCCCGGGCUUAACCUGGGAAUGGCAUUUGGGACUGCAAGGCUUGAGUGCGGCAGAGGAGACUGGAAUUCCUGGUGUAGCAGUGAAUGCGUAGAUAUCAGGAGGAACACGAUGGC
RNAcentral lists this ribosomal RNA (708 nucleotides) under uncultured bacterium. RNAcentral's name for it is "bacterial SSU rRNA". It matches the Rfam family "Bacterial small subunit ribosomal RNA", at positions 11 to 716 of the family's 1533-position model. The record is from RNAcentral.